GGUAGUCCACGCCGUAAACGAUGAUAACUUGCUGUCCGGGGACUUGGUCUUUGGGUGGCGCAGCUAACGCAUUAAGUUAUCCGCCUGGGGAGUACGGUCGCAAGAUUAAAACUCAAAGGAAUUGACGGGGGCCUGCACAAGCGGUGGAGCAUGUGGUUUAACUCGAAGCAACGCGCAGAACCUUACCAGCGUUUGACAUGUCCGGACGACUUCGAGAGAUCGAUUCCUUCCCUUCGGGGACUGGAACACAGGUGCUGCAUGGCUGUCGUCAGCUCGUGUCGUGAGAUGUUGGGUUAAGUCCCGCAACGAGAGCAACCCUCGCCUUUAGUUACCAUCAUUCAGUUGGGUACUCUAAAGGAACCGCCGGUGAUAAGCCGGAGGAAGGUGGGGAUGACGUCAAGUCCUCAUGGCCCUUACGCGCUGGGCUACACACGUGCUACAAUGGCAGGUACAGUGGGCAGCAAUCCCGCGAGGGUGAGCUAAUCUCCAAAACCUGUCUCAGUUCGGAUUGUUCUCUGCAACUCGAGAGCAUGAAGGCGGAAUCGCUAGUAAUCGCGGAUCAGCAUGCCGCGGUGAAUACGUUCCCAGGCCUUGUACACACCGCCCGUCACACCAUGGGAGUUGGAUUCACCCGAAGGCGUUGCGCCAACCCAGCAAUGGGAAGCAGGCGACCACGGUGGGUUCAGCGACUGGGGUGAAGUCGUAACAAGGUAGCCGUAGGGGAACCUGC
Molecule: ribosomal RNA, 730 nt
Filed under: uncultured bacterium
Lineage: Bacteria
Description: bacterial SSU rRNA
Rfam family: Bacterial small subunit ribosomal RNA
Source: RNAcentral